RNAcentral lists this microRNA precursor (94 nucleotides) under Tursiops truncatus (common bottlenose dolphin). RNAcentral's name for it is "miRNA (ENSTTRG00000022375.1)". The record is from RNAcentral. Lineage: Eukaryota; Metazoa; Chordata; Mammalia; Artiodactyla; Delphinidae.
AUGCGUGUAUACGUAUAUGUAUGCGUAUAUAUGUGUAUAUAUAUAUAUGUGUGUACACACACACACACACACACACACACACACACACACACAC